AGAAUCGCCACUCGACUAGGUGCCCGAACGGCCAACCGGCCAUAGGGUAAACGGGAAACAGGUGCAAGACCUGUGCUGCCCCCGCAACGGUAAGCGAGUGCGGGUGCGCCAACAAGCCACUGGGGAAACCUGGGAAGGCGGCGCAUCCCAAGCCAUCAAGGCUUGACUCGCGAGCCCGGAGACCGGCCUGUCGUGAUCGCGAGGC
RNAcentral lists this non-coding RNA (205 nucleotides) under Hydrogenophilaceae bacterium. Lineage: Bacteria; Pseudomonadati; Pseudomonadota; Hydrogenophilia; Hydrogenophilales; Hydrogenophilaceae. The record is from RNAcentral.